UCAUAUGGUUCAACCAAUGAACCAAAUAAAUCAUGGGGUUUCAUCUUUAGAUGUAUCGGACGGUUUACGCCCUAUCAAGGGUAUCCCGGUGUACAAUCACAACCGUUCAUUUCCUUUUUUGGCUACAAAUAUAGACAAAGAGAAAGAUCCAAAGAUGUGUUUUUACCCAUCAUCAUCUCCUUCUUCUUCUUCUCCUUCUUCGCCUUCGCCUUAUUUUAAUAAUAGGUUUAAUGGGAUAUCAUCCUCGUCUUAUCAUCACGUGCCACAUCAUCAUCCUCUUCAAUAUCAU
Molecule: long non-coding RNA, 289 nt
Filed under: Solanum tuberosum (potato)
Lineage: Eukaryota; Viridiplantae; Streptophyta; Magnoliopsida; Solanales; Solanaceae
Description: long non-coding RNA (STUB_LNC010360)
Source: RNAcentral